Molecule: long non-coding RNA, 1010 nt
Filed under: Chelydra serpentina (North American snapping turtle)
Lineage: Eukaryota; Metazoa; Chordata; Testudines; Chelydridae
Description: lncRNA (ENSCSRG00000001424.1)
Source: RNAcentral
CAGAAAAGGAAGUUUCCGAAUUGGAUGGUUCUAAAUCUGUCAAACUGCCUCUUAUGAGUUUAAGAAAGCUGGACAACAAAAUUGACAGCACAAAAAGCAGUCAGAUGGAAAGAGAGGAAGGUACCCAUACUAGUAGUGUGAAUGCUGGAGCUCCUGUGGACCAAGAGAUAGAAAAGCUGGAAUCUGCUUCAUCUGAUGGGGCCGAAACUGCAAACCUAGCUGCAUCUUAUGACAAUAAGGACCAGCCCACUAUUCCUGGGACCUCUUCGGAAGAUACAGGCACUGUUCCGAAGAAUGAUUUAGAAAGUGCUGCCAUCCCAGAGGCAGAGGAAUGUAAUUUAAUUGUACAAUGUAAUGCAGAAUCAGAAGAUCUAAUAUCUUAUGAAAAUCAGUGCCAGGACUUUAUGCCAAAUGAGCAGAAGAAAAGUAAAGACUGUGACCCAAGCACUGUCAAUGGUACCUGCAACAUGUCAGCAUCAACAAUUGUCCAAGGAGACAUCUUCACUGCUGAAGUACAAAGAGAUGAUCUUCGUAUGUUGUCUGGUGGAAACCAAGAGAAAUCCACUCACAAUAAUCUUGUGCAUGAAAUUAAGUCUCAGGAUGACACAUGUAUGAUGCUGGAUGCUUUGGGAAGUAGAAAAUGCCUGGAAAUAUUAGGAAAUCUUCAAGACCCACAGCAGGGAAAAGAAGCAACAAUACAUGGGUUAAUAGAUCACUUUAAAAAUGAACUCAGCCAUGAUGAUCAUUCCCAGGCUGACUUUAAACAUGAACUCAGCAGUGUGACUAAGGGGGAUGUAAAGGAAGAAAGUGACACCAUGUUCAGCACAGCAGAGGCAGAAGCUUCUCUAUGUGGCAAUGAACAACUUGGAGACACCCCUAAAACAGGUAUUACAAGGACAGUAUUAAUUAGUGAAGGUGAAGCAGCUUUGCAAGCAAGCAUUCAAGAUCAAGGGACAGAAACAAAAAAGCAUUACUCAGAAACUAUUACAGGGAUGGAGCCAGAAGAGGAU